RNAcentral lists this small RNA (127 nucleotides) under Marmota monax (woodchuck). The record is from RNAcentral. Lineage: Eukaryota; Metazoa; Chordata; Mammalia; Rodentia; Sciuridae.
GCUGGGCGCUGUGGUGCAUGCCUGUAAUCCCAGCCACCUGGGAGGCUGAGGCAGAAGGAUUGCAAGUUCAAAGCCAACCUCAGUGACUUGGCAAGGUCCUAAGCAACUUAGUGAGACCCUGUCUCUC